Molecule: unclassified non-coding RNA, 405 nt
Filed under: fungal sp.
Lineage: Eukaryota; Fungi
Description: partial internal transcribed spacer region
Rfam family: Eukaryotic small subunit ribosomal RNA (bases 1-46)
Source: RNAcentral
AAGUCGUAACAAGGUUUCCGUAGGUGAACCUGCGGAAGGAUCAUUAACACGUAUCCACGUAUCAACCAACUGUGCACCUGUUUUCACCUCUCCCUGCGUAGUCGUACAUGAAUUGAAGGAAUACCAAUGGUCGAUCGCUGAGGAGUCUUCGGACUCCGCCAUUGGACAUCCCCAACUUGAGCAAUCAGACAAUUGUAGUACGACCGGCAGGCAUAACCCCGUCUGCUCACCGACCUUCGCUCAGCUGAGGGAACGUGGCGGAUAAUAUUAUACACAAAUUUCACCCCAUUUUUGCUAGUUGACUUUUAUAUGUUGUCUUAUGACGUACUUCGGUAUGCCGUAAUUCACACGUUUAUUAUUUGAACGUUAAAUUUACAACUCUUAGCAAUGGAUAUCUUGGUUCUC